ACGGGGGGGACAAGCGUUGUUCGGAUUCACUGGGCGUAAAGGGCGCGUAGGCGGGCCUUCAAGUCAGGUGUGAAAACUGGCAGCUCAACUGCCAGCUUGCACUUGAUACUGUCGGUCUUGAGUACAGGAGGGGAAAGUGGAAUUCCAGGUGUAGCGGUGAAAUGCGUAGAUAUCUGGAAGAACACCGGUAGCGAAGGCGACUUUCUGGCCUGAUACUGACGCUGAAGCGCGAAGGCUAGGGUAGCAAACAG
RNAcentral lists this ribosomal RNA (251 nucleotides) under uncultured prokaryote. Its description in RNAcentral is "partial 16S rRNA". It matches the Rfam family "Bacterial small subunit ribosomal RNA", at positions 525 to 775 of the family's 1533-position model. The record is from RNAcentral.